CGGUUGAUCCUGCCGGAUCCGACUGCUAUCCGGGUAAGACUAAGCCAUGCCAGUCGAAUGGAACUUCGGUUCCAUGGCAUACUGCUCCGUAACAAGUAAUCAACUUACCCUACAGUGGGGUAUAAUCUCGGGAAACUGAGGCUAAUUCCCCAUAGUUGAAAUCUCCUGGAAUGGGUUUUCAUCGAAAGAUUUAUCGCUGUAGGAUAGGAUUGCUCUCGAUUAUGGUAGUUGGUGAGGUAGUGGCUCACCAAGCCUAUGAUCGAUAAGGGCCGUGAGAGCGGGAGCCCUGAGAUGAAUACUGAGACAAUGAUUCAGGCCUUACGAGGCGCAGCAGGCGCGAAACCUUUACAAUGCACGCAAGUGUGAUAAGGUUACCCGGAGUGCCGAGAGAAAAACUGUCGGCUGUUAUAGGUGUGUAAAAUACCCUAUGAGAAAGGAGAGGGCAAGGCUGGUGCCAGCCGCCGCGGUAAAACCAGCUCUUCAAGUGGUCGGGACUUUUAUUGGGCUUAAAGCGUCCGUAGCCGGUUUAAUAAGUUCCUGGUUAAAUCUGACAGCUUAACUGUCAGUUCGCUAGGAAUACUGUUUUACUAGAGGGUGGGAGAGGUCUGAGGUACUCUAUGGGUAGCGGUGAAAUGUGAUAAUCCUUAGGGGACCACCAGUGGCGAAGGCGUCAGACUGGAACACGCCUGACGGUGAGGGACGAAAGCUAGGGGAGCGAACGGGAUUAGAUACCCCGGUAGUCCUAGCUGUAAACGAUGCGUGCUAUGUGUUGGNAGGGCUUUGAGCCGUAUCAGUGCCAAAGGGAAACUGUUAAGCNNNCCGCCUGGGAANUACGCUCGCA
This 841-nucleotide ribosomal RNA is filed under the name uncultured archaeon. Its description in RNAcentral is "bacterial SSU rRNA". It matches the Rfam family "Archaeal small subunit ribosomal RNA", at positions 5 to 845 of the family's 1478-position model. The record is from RNAcentral.